CUUCAUGAACAUUAAGGUAAGAUCCAAUUCCAUGACCAGUUCCAUGUCGAUAAUCAAGGCCAUCCUUCCACAAUGGGACACGAGCAAGAAUGUCAAGUGUGUGUCCUGUAAAAAUUAUUUAUAAAAAUAAAUAGUGAAUUUAACAUCAUAUGUGCGCAUAUCUAUGUAUCUUUAAAUAGAACAAAGUUACAAGCAACAAAUUUGGCACAUAACAAAGAAAAUUGCUGGUCAACUAUGUGAUUUGGUGAUUCCUGAGGAUCUAUGCUGAAAUUUACCCCUCCCUUGGAACUAAAGAAGCCCAAUAAGCUACUAGCAAAUUAAAUGAACAAGAGAAAAAGCUCAUCAUACCAGCGGUUCCACUAGGAAAUCGAGCAUUACCCAGACUGAUAUGACCCUUGAGAACCUGCAUGAAAUCCAACAAAUCAAGCAAAAUGCUCAAGACCACAACAUAACUCCUAGAUAGAAGAAAUUUGUUAGCAAGCAUCUAUUAAGACAUUUUAUGAAGCAAAGGGCCUAAAAAGGUAAGCAUCUAUUAAGACAUUUUGAAUGUAUUUGUUGAAUAUAAUGUAUGUAUAGUAUACUAUCUUUCCUUGUUAAUAUAGGUCACAUGUAUGGUAGUUAGGACUCCUAGCCUUAUAUAUAUAUAUAUCUCUCAAUUGUAAGUAGAGAUUACAAUGAAUGAGAAUAAGGUUUUUCUCCUCUCUCUCUCUCUCUCUCUCAACAUGGUAUCAGAGUCAAAGGAGAAAACCUAAUUUUUUUUUCGGUUUAGCCGUGUACUCAAUUCCGGCGAACCGUCCAGUGACCGUGUUUUCACUCCGGUCCCCUCACUCUCUUUCCGAACCACCCCGGACAACCUCAUCGCCGUCGGAUCUCCACCACGCCGGCAACCUUUUCCGGCGAAAUUUUCCGGCGACCUUUUUUCCGGGCAAAGACCACAUAUUCCGAACCGCCGGAGGCUGAUCUACACGCCAGUGGAAACCCCACCGGCAACCGGCAUCUCACGCGCCCCCACGCGCUGCCCUUCUCCUCCGGACUGUCACCCACGCGCCGGCGCGUGACGGCGCGUGGCUCACUUUCCGGCCACUUCCGACACCUUUCCAGGCUCGUCCGGCGCCGUCUUGGCCUUCUAGCCCUCCGGCAGUCCUCCCCGAGCCCUGCAUCUCCAUUUUUUUCCCUGUUUUUGGCUUUCUUGCCAUUCCGGCCACCUCCGACAGGGCUCCCCCUCCAUCCCUGAGGCUUGGGUGCUACUUCUCUUCCUCUCCAGGCACGUCACGACCUUUUUUUCUCCAUUGAUUGCACCUCUCACAGCCGUGGUUUCACUGUUUUUCUCUCUCCGCCGAAAUCUGAACCCAUCUUAGGGCUCUCUUCGAUCCAAAUACGUGAAUAUGACCACCAAAAAUCAGAUCUUUACGUCUGUUCUCUCUGGAUCUCCUUUGAUUACCUCAGAGAAAUUGGUUGGCAGUGAGAAUUAUCUCUCCUGGUCUGCCUCUGUUGAACUUUGGUUUAUGGGUCAAGGAUAUGAGGAUCACUUGGUUACCCAGGAGGCAGAUAUCCCUAAGGUUGACCGCGAACAGUGGAGGAAGAUAGAUGCACAGUUGUGUAGUGUAUUAUGGCAAUCGGUUGAUCCCCGGAUUCUUCUUCAUCUUCAGGCCUAUAAAACUUGUUUUAAAUUUUGGACUCAGGCCAAAGGAUUAUACACGAAUGAUAUCCAGCGUCUUUAUAAGGUGGCUUCUGCUAUUGUCCAUCUCAGCCAACAGGACUUGGAUCUAUCGACUUAUAUUGGUCAGAUUACCUCUCUUAAGGAGCAGUUCUUGACUGUGAUGCCUCUUACUCCUGAUGUUGGGGCUCAACAAAUACAGCUUGACAAGUUCUUCAUGGUCCUUACUCUUAUUGGCCUCCGUCCGGAUCUUGAGCCUAUUCGUGAUCAGAUUCUUGGUAGUUCAUCAGUUCCGUCCUUGGAUGAUGUGUUUGCUCGCCUCCUCCGUAUCUCGUCCACUCAGACUUUGCCAUCUGAUAGCGCUUCAGAUUCUUCUGUGUUAGUUUCUCAAACUACCUCUCGAGGAGGACGCAGUGGUACCCGAGGUAGAGGCCAACGUCCUCAUUGCACCUAUUGCAAUAAACUUGGCCACACUCGCGAUCGUUGCUAUCAGUUACAUGGAAGACCUCCUCGCACUGCCCAUAUGGCCCAGUCCUCUGAUUCUCCGCUGCCUCAGACUCCGAGCUCCUCCGCAUCUCAGACAUCUCAGGCUUCUAUUGCCUCUGUUGCCCAGCCUGGUAAUGCCUCUGCCUGCCUUACCCACACAUCUUCUCUUGGACCCUGGAUUCUAGAUUCUGGAGCAUCUGAUCACCUAUCUGGUAAUAAGGAUCUUUUCUCCUCUAUUACUACUACCUCUGAUUUACCUACUGUUACCUUAGCUAAUGGUUCUCAAACUGUGGCUAAAGGUAUUGGUUUGGCCCUUCCUCUGCCUUCUCUACCUCUCACUUCUGUCCUUUAUACUCCUGAAUGUCCUUUUAAUCUUAUUUCCAUCAGCAAAAUCACUCGUACUCUUAAUUGCUCUAUUACCUUUUCUGAUAAAUUUGUGACCUUGCAGGACCGGAGUACGGGGAAGACGAUUGGCAUAGGACGUGAGUCUCAAGGCCUCUAUCACCUCACCUCAGAUUCAUCUCCUGCAGUUUGCAUUUCCACUGAUGCUCCUCUCCUCAUUCACAAUCGUCUGGGCCACCCUAGUCUCUCCAAGUUCCAGAAGAUGGUUCCUCGUUUUUCAACUUUGUUGUCGCUUCCGUGUGAGUCAUGUCAGCUUGGGAAACAUACUCGUGUCUCGUUCCCAAAGCGUUUGAAUAAUCGGGCAAAGUCUCCUUUUGAGCUUGUCCACACUGAUGUUUGGGGUCCUUGUCGGACUGCGUCUACUUUAGGAUUUCAGUAUUUUGUCACUUUCAUUGAUGACUAUUCUCGAUGUACUUGGUUAUUUUUAAUGAAAAAUCGAGCUGAGUUAUUCUCUAUUUUCCAGAAAUUUUAUACUGAAAUCCAAACCCAGUUCAAUAUUUCUAUUCGUGUGUUACGCAGUGACAAUGCCAGGGAAUAUUUUUCAGCCCAAUUUACUUCGUUUAUGUCUCAUCAUGGGAUUCUUCAUCAGUCUUCUUGUGCUCAUACUCCUCAACAAAAUGGGGUAGCUGAACGCAAGAAUCGACAUCUUGUUGAGACAGCUCGUACUCUCCUCCUCCAUAGUCAUGUUCCUUUUCGCUUUUGGGGGGACGCUGUUCUUACCGCUUGUUAUUUGAUUAAUCGUAUGCCCUCCUCUGUCUUACACGAUCAGAUUCCUCACUCCCUUCUUUUCCCUGACCAACCACUUUAUUUCCUUCCUCCUCGUGUCUUUGGUUGUACUUGCUUUGUUCAUAUUCUCACUCCUGGACAGGACAAGCUUUCCGCCAAAGCCAUGAAGUGCCUCUUUUUGGGAUAUUCCAGACUUCAGAAGGGUUAUCGUUGUUAUUCCCUUGAGACUCAUCGGUACUUUAUCUCCGCUGAUGUCACCUUCUUUGAGGACUCACCAUUCUUUUCCACCACUUCUGAGUCUCUUCCUGUUUCUGAAGUCUUGCCCAUUCCCAUUGUCUCCCCACCUGAUGCUAUGCCCCCUCGACCACUUCAGGUUUAUCAUCGCCGCCCUCGUGUCGUUGCUCCUCUCCCUUUUCCUGAGGCACCUGCUGACUCACUUCCUAUCCCUUCGGCUUCACCUGCCCCGGCUCUGCCUUCUCCUAAUGACUUACCUAUUGCUGUUCGGAAAGGUACUCGCUCUACUCGUAAUCCUCAUCCUAUUUACAAUUUUUGAGUUAUCAUCGAUUAUCUUCACCCUAUUCUGCUUUUGUUUCUGCUAUAUCCUCUGUUUCUCUUCCAAAGAGCACCCAUGAAGCUCUUUCCCAUCCAGGCUGGCGACAGGCAAUGGUGGAUGAAAUGGCUGCUCUGCACUCUAAUGGCACUUGGGAUCUUGUUGUUUUACCCUCUGGUAAAUCUACAGUUGGUUGUCGUUGGGUCUAUGCAGUUAAGGUUGGUCCUGAUGGUCAGGUUGAUCGCCUUAAGACCCGUUUAGUUGCUAAAGGCUAUACUCAAGUUUAUGGUUCUGAUUAUGGUGACACAUUCUCCCCUGUUGCCAAGAUUGCUUCUGUCCGCUUGCUUCUCUCCAUGGCUGCUAUGUGUUCUUGGCCUCUUUAUCAGUUGGAUAUUAAAAAUGCCUUCCUUCAUGGUGAUCUUGCCGAGGAAGUUUAUAUGGAGCAACCUCCUGGUUUUGUUGCUCAGGGGGAGUCUGGUUUAGUGUGCAGGUUACGCCGUUCUCUAUAUGGCUUGAAACAAUCUCCUCGAGCAUGGUUUAGCCGUUUUAGUUCUGUUGUUCAAGAGUUUGGCAUGCUUCGCAGUACAGCAGACCAUUCAGUUUUUUAUCAUCAUCACUCCUUGGGGCAGUGUAUUUAUCUGGUUGUUUAUGUGGACGACAUCGUCAUUACAGGCAGUGAUCAGGAUGGUAUUCAGAAACUAAAGCAACAUCUUUUUACCCACUUUCAGACCAAAGACUUGGGGAAACUCAAGUAUUUCUUGGGAAUUGAGAUAGCUCAAUCCAGUUCUGGUGUGGUCCUUUCCCAAAGGAAGUAUGCUUUAGACAUCCUGGAAGAAACCGGUAUGUUAGACUGUAAACCGGUAGACACACUCAUGGAUCCGAAUGUCAAACUUAUACCAAGACAGGGGGAGCCUUUAGGAGACCCCGGGAGAUAUCGACGGCUCGUAGGUAAAUUGAACUAUCUCACCAUUACUCGUCCAGACAUUUCUUUUCAUGUGAGUGUUGUUAGUCAAUUCCUACAGUCACCAUGUGAUAGCCAUUGGGAUGCCGUAAUCCGUAUCCUUCGAUAUAUCAAAAGUACACCAGGCCAAGGUGUAUUGUACGAGAACAGAGGUCAUACUCAAGUUGUUGGUUACACAGAUGCAGAUUGGGCUGGCUCACCCACAGAUAGACGUUCCACUUCAGGGUACUGUGUUUUUAUUGGAGGUAAUCUAAUAUCUUGGAAGAGUAAGAAACAAGAUGUAGUGGCCAGAUCUAGCGCUGAAGCCGAGUAUCGAGCUAUGGCUUUGGCAACAUGUGAACUCAUAUGGUUGAGACAUCUUCUUCAGGAGUUGAGAUUUGGAAAGGAUGAACAGAUGAAACUCAUCUGUGAUAACCAGGCCGCAUUACAUAUUGCAUCCAAUCCAGUCUUUCAUGAAAGGACCAAGCAUAUUGAAGUUGACUGUCAUUUCAUUAGAGAGAAGAUCGCAUCAGGAUGUGUUGCUACAAGUUUUGUCAAUUCAAAUGAUCAACUAGCAGACAUCUUCACUAAAUCCCUCAGAGGUCCUAGGAUUAAAUAUAUUUGUAACAAGCUUGGUGCAUAUGACGUAUAUGCUCCAGCUUGAGGGGGAGUGUUGAAUAUAAUGCAUGUAUAGUAUACUAUCUUUCCUUGUUAAUAUAGGUCACAUGUAUGGUAGUUAGGACUCCUAGCCUUGUAUAUAUAUAUCUCUCAAUUGUAAGUAGAGAUUACAAUGAAUGAGAAUAAGGUUUUUCUCCUCUCUCUCUCUCUCUCUCAACAGUAUUCAAUAAAAAAAAUUAUAAAAAUCAGUAGAACAUUUUAUGAAAUAUGAACAAAAAACAUAUGAAUUUAUAUUCUGGGAUAAGGCUACUUCCUUUGCAAACACCUAAAAUGCAACUUCAGAAAACUCAACGAAGUUUUAUCCCACUACUUUGUUCAUAUUGGAAUUGAUACUUGAUCUCCAACCGAAAGACUGGAAAUUUCAAAGUUGAAAAGUAAUGUCACGAUAGAUAAGUAUUAGAGUUCGCAGUGAACUGCACUGGUGUAGCCAUAACGUGCUGACAGGCAGGCAGUGAUAGUCAUAGCAUAGAAUGGUGCUAGAUAUGUAAAAGAUGAUGGCAGUGCAAACUUGCUGAGAAGGUGGUGAAGUGAUUGCGAUCAUGUCAUGAUUGUUUAUAGUAAGAGGAGCUAAUGGUGGAAAUAAAGGUGCCAAAAUUGAUAACAUGGGAUGCAGUGGAAAUUUUUGAGGUGUAUUAGGUGUGUUGAUACAUAUAGUCGCUUCCAGAUGAGAGGUCUGGAUACAACAACACAGGUUGAUGAGGAGGAAGAUUGUGUAAAAGGUAGCAACAGGUUCUAGGUGGGCAGUGGUAGUAUGGCCAUAGUAUUGGAGGUGAUAGAAGCAAUGAGGAGGAUAUAAAGGGUAGCGAACAAUUUGAUCAAUUUCCCCGUAAGUAAAAUGAAUGUGGAUAAGGUGGUAAUGGCUGUAACAGGAUAUCAAAGCAGAAGAUGGCAGAAGCAGUGACAACAGAAAUGGUGUUCCUAGGGGCCUAGCAGUGGUAGCAGUGGAUCUAUAAGGGGCUGAAAAAUUAGAAUUAGAACACAUUUCCAACUUUUGGAUGGACUUCUGUUCCAUCUCAAAAUGUUUUGAAAUAUGUUCAUUUCCAAGUCGACUGCAGUGACACCCUGAAAAAAUAUGGAACUUUUUCCGUACUUCAGAAUUGAAAACAACCAUAUUCUGUUUUGAAUGAACAAGGUUAAGAAGUGUUCAAAUGCCAAAUAAAUACAAGAUAUCCUGAAAAGAAAGCAACAAGAGCCACAUACCGCAGUAUAGCAUGCUUUCUCAUGUGAUGAAGGUUUUCCAAAAUGAACAGUUCGAGUUAUAUCAGUUGUUCCAUCUUGAUACUUCAAAGACACCAUAUCAUCAGUAAAGAAUAGCAAUAUCAUAAACACAAAGUUAAUACAAAAAAUGGACUUAUUGUAUUGCCUUCUUUGGUUAAUGGCUAUAUCCCAAACAAUUCAAGAUAGUUGGCAAACCUGCGCUCCAGAAUCAAAUAGAUAAAUGCUAUCGGGAUCUAACUCAGAACAUGUUUCUGCAUCUGGAGAAUAAUGAAUGAUAGCUGCAUUUGGACCAACCGAUGAAAUAGUAGGAAAACUUAAUCCUCUAAAAUGCUGCAAAAAGAAGCCAUCAAGAAUAUUACACAUAAUGCUAUCUAUUUAAUGAAAUACAAAGUUCUAUCAGAAGAUAGAGAAGAAUAACAAAAAUAAAACUAAUCUAGGAAAAACAAAAAUAUCACAAAACAAAUUACAUGAAAGGACUUAUCAGAAAUACAUCUCCUAGAAAAUCAUUCAAGCAAAAAGGGCGUCUUAAGUUACUUCAUAGUGGUAUUGAAGAGAUAGGACAAGUCUACAAUCAACAAUCAUGAUCAUUAUAAAAAAGUACAGCAACAAAAUCAACAAAUCCCCUUGUUCAAACUAUCAAUGCCAUCUGGUAAUGUUGAAAUGACACUUUUGACUGUCAGUAUAACAAAAACUUUUCUAUAAAGUACCUCUUUUGAUGCUCGAAAACUUUCUAGCUUAUCACUUGCAGAUACCUCUGUCAGUUUCAUAGUUUCCCUGACAAAGUUAGACAGACAAUAAUUAUCAAAAUAGAAACUAUUGUGUAGAAGCUUUUUUUUUAAAAAAAAAAAGAAACAAAUUCAAUAUGACCCAUGAUUUCAGACCCAUAACAGUGAAGUCUAGGAUAUUUAUAUGCACCUAGACAUCCAGAAGAAUUAAAUGUGGAUUAUACCCUGUGACGUUUAAGGAGUAGUAAAAUGUUUCUGACAAGUACAAGACUUAGCUUUCCUUUUAAUAGAAACCCCCAUCCAUACUUAUAAGUCAAAACACAUUUAUAUUAAAUAGGCACUGUUUUAUUUAUUUAAUACCCCCAUUGGCAUCAUUGAUGAAAGAGAUGUGAAUUUUAAUCUAUCUAUAUAUGCAAAGUAAAACAUCAUCAUGUAAUAAUCCAGAAAAUACAUUACAGUAAUUCAUUUUCUGUUACAGAGCAUGAUAUGCAUUGUGGGUCAAAAUCCAAACAACUUAAGCUUUUAGGAAAAUCGUCCAACAUGAUAUCAGUCUCAUUGAAUGGGAGGUCAUGAGUUCACACCUCACUGCAUGUUUAGUUCUCCAAUUUAUCGAGUCUACAUGCUUAACCCAAUUGCUUCGAAACUAACUUUCCAAACUAUACACACUUGAAAUAAAAUAACAACUUGGAGAAAGGCAUGAUCCUCUAGCAAUGAUAAGUGGGAAAAAAACGGAUGCAGAAGUUAGUCUACACCAUAUAUGCCUAUAUGAGUACAUUAACUAAAAACAAUGGUUAAAGGUAUAAGCAGACUAAUGGUAUCACUAAGUUCUACUGACAGUUGGUGUGAGUGAAACAAGUUGGUAGUAGCUGAUAAGCCAUGAUUUAACCAAAAUAAAAUAUUUAACAUCUAAAAGAAUCUCGAGAAAAAAUAAUAAUGCAACUCAUCGAGGGCCAAGUCUCCUUCUUCAUCUUCUUCUCUUUCUAAGACUAGACCCUUAGGUUUGGAAGUGGGCUGUUAAGUCAAUUAUUAGAAGUUGCAACAUUCAUAGGUGGGGACUUCCACUAGGCUCAUGGGAGUUGAAACUAGGUUGUUGAGGAUGGUGCUUCAAGAUGGAACAUCUAUGGUGUUUCCAAAAAAUGCGCAAGGGGAUUAGUAUGGAAGCCAUGGUUAGGUUAAAAGAGACACUAAGCUGUUGUUCAACGGGGUGAGGAUCCUCUCUUUGAAUGUUUUUUCACAAGUUAGUAGCUUUUAGGAGCUUUAUUGAGAUGCCAAUGUUGGGAUUUGAAAAGGAUGUAAUGUCCCUUUUGAGGAAGAUGGAGGCUAGGAGAGAGUAUAGUCUGUCUUUGAGGGCAAAGAGGAAGUCCAUAUGGAUAUCUCGGUUUGUGAGGGACCUUCAGAGGUUGGAAUACUCAGUUGGCUACAAAGAUUCUUCCAAAAAUGAAAGGGGUUGUGGGAGCAGCAGUUGAAACCCAACCCUGGUUGCAUGACAAAACUAAAAAUCCUUUCUUGGAAGGUCAAAGGAGCCAACAAAGACAUCAAGGGGGAGAUCUAGUUUACUUUCAAAAAUCCAAGAUAGAACAUAUGUCCACACAACUAGUGAGGAGCUAGGGAGUAGGAAGAUUUUGGGAGUGGGGAGCUGUGGAUGCCAGAGGACCAUCAGGAGGCAUACUAGUCAGUUAGGACCAUAGGGUGCUAGAAUUGAUUGGUAUAGAAGUGAGAGUUUUCUCUAGAGUUUAUGGGCUGAUCCAAGAGGGGAAAGAGAGGAUUUUUGGGGGUGGAUUUGAGGGCCAUAAGAGGUAUUUGGUAUGACCUGUGGUGCUUAAGAAAGAAUUUUAGUAUGGUCAAAUUUCUUGAGGGAAGGACAAAUUACCUAAGAAUGUCUUCUGAUAUGAAGCGCUUUUUGGAAGUCUUAAAGCUGAACUUGAGGGAUAUUGUGCUAGUUUGAGGGCGAUUCAUUUGGUGCGGUGGUCAGAAUUUUCAAUCUUCUUUGAGGCUUAACCACUUCUUAGGGUCAAAUGAUUGAAAGCAACAUUUUUCUGACCUAAUUCAAUGUGUUCUACCUCAACUGAUUUCAGAUCAUUCUCACAUGAUUUUAGAUGGUUGUGGGAUGCAGAGGGGUAAAUCUCCCUUUAGAAUUGAAAAUAUGUUGCUUAAAUCGAAAGGAUUCAAAUACCUAGUGAGGAACUAAUGGAUGGUAAUGUGAGUGGUUCUUUUAGUUACAUUCUGGUAGCAAAACUGAAAGGCCUCAAAUAGGAUUCAAAAAGGUGGGAAAAAAGGUCUUUAGAAAACAUCGUUACUAAAAAAUUUGAGGUCCUAAAGAGUGGUUCAUUUAGUUACAUUCUGGUAGUAAAACUGAAAGCCCUCAAGUAGGAUUCAAGAAGGUGGGAAAAAAGGUCUUUAGAAAACAUUGUUACUAAAAAAUUUGAGGUCCUAAAGCAGAUCGGUUUCCAGGAUUCUAAGGAAAGAGAUGCAGUCCUCACUGUUGAAGAGUCUACGAGCAAAAGGUUACUUGUAGCUGAGUUUAACAAGUGGACCUCAUUGGAAGAAGUGAUGAGGAGGCAGAAAUUAAGACAAACCAUGCCAAAAGAGGAGAAUAAAAGUACAGGAUAAAAAUACCAAAUUCUUUCAUAAAAUGACCGAUGCACACAGGAGAAACCAUUUGUCCAAAGUCAGUGUCAAUGGGAAUCUAUUGAUCGAGGAAGUGGAUAUUAAUGAGGGGUGUCUUGGGCUUUCCAAUAUUGCUCCUACUGAAGUAAGGGAUUGGAAACCCAGCAUUAGUGGGAUGCAAUUUGAAAUGCUAGGAAGCAAUGAUCCUAGGAAAUUGGAGGCACCUAUCUCUGAGAAGGAAUCCAAUUUAUGCAGGGAUAAACCAAGGUCAAAUGGUUUUACCAUAGCAUUUUGAGAGAUGAGUUGGGACUUCAUAAAAACCGGGAUGAUGGGCUUCUUCAGGGAGUUCUUUGAUAAUAGCUCCUUUGAGAGAAUCCUAAAUGCUACUUUCUUAAUCUUGAUUCCAUAGAAAGGUGGAGUUGAGGACUUCAAAGAUUUCGGACUCAUUAGUUUAGUUGGGCGGGUGUGUAAGCUCCUAGUUUAAGUUCUAGCCAAUCAGCUCAAAAAGGUAGUAGGCAAGGUGGUUUCAAUUGACCAACCAGCUUUUGUGUAGGUCAAACAAAUUUGGGAUGCAACCCUUAAUGAGAAUGAGGCUUCAGAUUCAAUGCUAAAGAGCACCAAUAGCAAGGUCAUCUGUAGGUUGGACAUUGAAAAAGGAUAUGAUUAUGUAAAUUGGGACUUCUUGAUAACGGUUUUUGAGAAAAUGAGCUUUGGCCAAAAAUGGGUGAGAUAGAGCAAAUGGUGCAUUUUUAUGAUGAGAUUCUCCAUUGUAGACAACAUAGUCCUGUCUCAUUUUUUCUAGAGUUCAAGGGGAUUGAGGUAAGUAGACCCUCUUUCCUUUUACCUCUUUAUUUUGGAAAAUGAGGAAAUUAGCUAGAUCCUAAGGAAGGUCAAUGAAAAGAGGUUUCAUCUUGGGAUUCAAAAUAGAAAGAAUGGGUGGGGAGGGAAUGGAAGUUUUGUUAUUCACUAACAACACCUUAAUUUUUUGUGAUGCUAACCAAGAGCAAUUGAAGCAUCAAAGGACUAAGCUAGCCUUCACACAAUUUUAGACAAUAUAUGAUUUACGGAGAAAAAUGAGCUAAUUCUGAUAAAGUUGCAAAUAUGGAGAGUCUAACCUCAAUAUUGAUCUAUAGGAUUGAGAGCCUACCUACUACAUAUUUGGGUCUAUGUUUGGGUACUCCUCACAAAUCAAUACUGAUAUGGGAUUCAGUGGAGACGAGACUUCACAGAGAGCUAGCCUCUUAUAAGAGGCAAUACCUAUCAAAAGGAAGGACACUUACCUUGAUCAAAAGCACAUUGUCAAGCCUACUAAUUUAUUUCAUGUCUCUACUUAUCAUUUGAGCUGGGUAAGCUUAAGACUAGAGCAGAUCCAAAGGGAUUUCCUAUAGGGUGGAGGGCACUUGAGAGAAAGUCAGUCUACAAUUUGUUUGGACCAAAAGGAUUGAGGACUUGGCAUAAAAAAUUUCCAUACUUCUAAUAAGACUUUUCUUAGUAAAUGGAACUAGAGAUUUGCCUUUGAGAGAGAGAAUGGGACAAAAGAUGCGAAAUGGUGCUUAAGGGUGGUAAGCAAUGGUUAUAGGGUAGGGUUGUGAAAGGAUAUUAGAAUCAGGUCCGAAAUCUUUAGAAGUAGAGCUCGCUCAUGAUGGGUAAUGGCAGGAGGGAAAAAUUUUAGAUAGAUAGAAGGCGUCGAGAAAGUUCUUUAGAAGAGUCUUUACCAGUAUUGUUUUCAAUAGCCACUAAUAAAGACUCUUUGAUGGCAGAUAUAUGGGAACAAGAUAGGGAGGAAGGCUGGUGAAGUCCUCAUUCCAUAAACAAUUCCAUGAUUAGGAAUUGAAAUGAGUGGAGGUCUUUUUAUGAAGAUUGCAAUCAACCUUAAUUAGAAGGGAUAAGGAGGACAAAUCAGGGGUUGGAAGGCACAAUGAUAGAAACUUGGAGAUUCCUUUUACUAAGGAAGAAGUGUUAGCCGCCUUGUCCAAUCUGUGUAGAGAUAAAGUUCCAAGGUAAGAUGGUUUUAUGGUGGCGAUUUGUACAUGAGCUAGGAUUUUGUAAAACCUGAGGUAGUGGUUUUCUUCAAGAAGUUCUUUGUCAUUAGAUCUUUUGGAGAAGCUUAAAUGACUCCUCCUUGGUCUUGGUCCCCAAAAAAAAAAGACAGAGCUAAGGACCUAAAUGAUUCCAGACCUAUUAGCUUAUUUUUGGGGUUAUAAGCUCCUAGCAUAAGUCCUAGCCAAUAGGUUCAAAAAGGUGUUAAGGAAAGUGGUCUCAAUUUACCAGCAUGCUUUUAUGGGGGGUAGACAAACUCUAUAUGCUUAGUGUCACAAGAUGCUUCAAAUGACCCUCCCCAUGGGCUUAUAUAAGAGGUAGGAAGCUUCUAGAGACCCUUGGAGACAUCUACACUUAGCUACAAGGUGGAAGAGUGUGGAAGCUUUUAGAAAAGGCUAGAGAUGUCCACACAUCUCUACACUUGGCUAGGAGACCACUGGAAAAGUGUGGGGUGUUCUAGAAUCUUCCAAAGUCAUCUUAUACAUGACCUUGUACAUAGACUAGUGUAGGAGCUUCUAGAUUAUUCUUGAUUUGUAAAGAACCCUUCAAGGUUCUAGAGACUUCCUAAGGUGCCUAUAAAUAGGUUAAGGCCUCAUUUGGCCAAGGUACCACCCAAAAUCAUUUCCUAACCAAGCAAGUGAGUUCCAAAGCACUUGUAAAGCUUCCUUUGAGCAAUAAAAGCUUCCAUUCUUCAAGAAUUGCCUACUACGCCUUCUAAAGUUUCCAAGUCGUGAGCAUCUUAACCUAGCAAGCUAAGCAUCGGGAAUAAGGUUGACUUAGUAAGAUCAAAUGUCUUAACUUGUCUAAGUACCACACAAGCUUAAGAAAAGACUAAGUCCGUGACAGUUGGUAUCAGAGCGUAGCUACGAAGCGUGCAUAGUAAAGGAAGCAUGUCGGGCUCCAACAUGGCCGAGACUAGUGAGCAAACCCGUAGGAGGGAGACCGAGCCUACUGCACGGGGCAGGGGUAGGAAGGAUAAAUCUCAUAAUGCCAUAGCCAACAUGGAGGCAAGGCUAGCCAAGGUGGAGCUAGCCAUGGCAGACACCCGGGAAGGAGUGGACUUGAUCGAGCAAGGCAUGGAGAAAGGCUUAGAGGAUCUGAGGGAGCAUAUCCAAGAAUGGCAGACACCCGGGAAGGAGUGGACUUGAUCGAGCAAGGCAUGGAGAAGGGCUUAGAGGAUCUGAGGGAGCAUAUCCAAGACCUUCGUGAGGAGGUGCUAGGCUCACAAGUUCAGCCGGUGUCACAUGAGGAGUUCAUGUCCUUUCAAGACAAGGUCAUGAGCAUGUUUGCUAGCAUGGAGUCAAGAGUGGAGGCAUUGGUUGCACGCAUGGAGGCCCGAGACCAGGAGGUUCGACAAAAGCCGGCCAUCUACAAGAUUGUCGUAUCAACACGAGUCAUAGCCACUCAUGAGGCACCAAGGGUGGAGGUGCCCAAGCCACACACAUUCAAUGGCAAAAGGGAUACCAAGAAGCUAGACAACUUCUUGUGGCACAUGGAGCGCUACUUUGAGGCUAUCGCACUAACGGAUGAAGACACUAAGGUACAUACCGCGACCCUCUACCUCAUCGAUAAUGCUACUCUAUGGUGGCGUCGAAGGUUUGUUGAUAUAGAAAAAGGGACAUGCACCAUAGACACAUGGGAUGCCUUUAAGCGAGAGAUCAAAAGACAAUUCUACCCUGAGGAUAUGGCUUACCUAGCAAGGAAAAACAUGAAGCGUCUCAAACACACGGGCUUGAUCCGUGAAUAUGUCAAAGAGUUCUCUACACUUAUGCUUGAGAUAUCCAACAUGUCCAAGGAGAAGCUACUAUUCAACUUAAUGGACAACUUGCAAAGUUGGACCGAGCAAGAGUUGAGGAGACGUGGUGUCCAAGACCUAGCCAUGGCCAUGGCAAUAGUAGAGUCUUUAACGGAUUACAAGAGGGGAGACUCCUCCAAGAUUAAGUCUUUGGAGAAUAGCCAUGCUAUGGGUGGGGGAGACGAGGUUUCAAGGGACCACAAUGCUCCUAAAAUGGGAUAAGGCAAGACGUGGGAAGGAAGGGGUAAGGCAGAAAGGAAGGAGUUUACGCCUAAAAUCAAAUGCUUCCUAUGUGACGGUCCACAUUGGGCAUGGGAUUGUCCAAAAAAGAAAGUGCCCAGUGCCAUGAUUGAGGAGAGAGAAUAGGAAGAUGAAGCACAUAUGGGCUUGGUGCAACUACUAGGUGCCCUCCAAGUCAACCCAAAGCCUAGUAUGCCUAAGACCUCCUUACUAUCGGGGGUGCAAGUAAAAGAGGCAAAAGGGGAGCAAGCUAAGGUAGCCCACACACACAUGGACAAGGUCACCAAGAGAAAGGUGAACUCAAUGGGCAAGAGGAAGCAGCACUCCAAGCAUCGAAAGUGUAGGUGUCUGCAUCCAUCCUAGGCCUCACGGGAGAAGGAGGUGAAAAAUACCCUGGUUGAACGAGUCACCAGGAGACAAGAGUUCCCUCCCGUGAUAGAGUAUCUAGUUCAAUGGAAAUGACUACCUAAGAGGCAGGCAAGCUAGGAACAUGCAAAUACCUUGAGAAGGUUCUGGAAACACAUUGAGAGGUUUCAAGAAGAGACAACAACGGGGACGUCGACGGCAUGGGUGGGGGAGAGUGUUACAAGAUGCUUCAAAUGACCCUUCCCAUGGGCUUAUAUAAGAGGUAGUAAGCUUUUAGAGACCCCUGGAGACAUCUACACUUAGCUACAAAGUGGAAGAGUGUGAAAGCUUCUAGAAAAGACUAGAGAUGUCUCACACAUCUCUACACUUAGCUAGGAGACCACUGGAAAAGUGUGAGGUGUUCUAGAAUCUUCCAAAGUCAUCUUGUACAUGGCCUUGUACAUAGACUAGUGUAGGAACUUCUAGAUUGUUCUUGAUUUGUAAGGAACCCUUCAAGGUUCUAGAGACUUCUUAAGGUAGGUUAAGACCUCAUUUGGCCAAGGCACCACCCAAAAUCAUUUCCUAACCAAGCAAGUGAGUUCCAAAACACUAUUAAAGCUUCUUUUGAGCAAUAAAAGCUUUCAUUCUUCAAUAAUUGCCUACUACGCCUUCUAAAACUUCCAAGUUGUAAGUAUCUUAGCCUAGCAAGCUAAGCAUCGGGAGUAAGGUUGACUUAGCAAGAUCAAGUGUCUUGACUUGUCUAAGUGUCAUACGAGCUUAGGAAAAGAAUAAGUUCGUGACAUUAGGCUCUAGUUUAAAAAAAGUCUAAUAGUGGCAUUAUUUGUAAACAAGACAUUGAAAGGGCUAUGAACAUGUAAAUUGGGAUUUCCUACUAAGGGUACUAGUUAAAAUGGGCUUCAGUAAAAAAUAAGUGAGAUGGAUCAAAUGGUGUAUAUCUAAUACAAAAUUUUAUGUCCUUGUCAACAAGAUUUAAACCAGUGUUUUCUAGAGCUCCAUAGGUUUAAGGUAGGGAAACCAUCUUUACCUCUACCUUGUCAUUUUGGGGAUGUAGUCUUUCAAUCAGAUUUUAAGAAGGGUACGAGAAAGGGCCUCCAUAUUAGAAUACAAAGUUGGAGAAAGAGUUGGCAAGGGUAUGGAAUUGUCCCCUUGUUGUUUGCUAAUGACACUUUAAUUUUCUAUGAUGCUAACCAAGAGUAGUUGGAGCACCAAAGUUGGGCUUUCAUUUGAUUUGAGGCAAUCUCUGGCCUAAAGACAAUGAACAUGGAGAAACAUGAGCUUAUUAUGGUAGAGGAAGUUAAAAAAAUGGAAAGCCUUGUUGAUUAUAAUGUAGGAAAUCUGCCUACUACAUAUCUAAGCCUUCCUUUGGAAGCUCCUCACAAAUUAAUGAGAAUAUAAUAUUCAAUGGAGGAGAGAUUUCAGAGAAAGCUUGCCUUGUAGAAGAGACAAAAUCUCUCAAAUGGGCUUACCUUGAUCAAAAGCUCAUUGUCUAGCUUGCCUAAGUUAAACUAAAUCCAAAGGGAUUUUCUUUGGCCAAAGGAGGUGGGGGGGGGGGGGGGGGGGGGGGGGAUAAGGAAAAACCCCAUUUAGUUAAGUGGUCUAUAUCCAUUUAGGCAAGAGUGGAGCUCUUGGUAUAAAAAAUCUUCAUAUUCUUAACAGAGUUCUUUUGGGCAAAUGGUGAUAGAGAUUUACUACCGAGAGUAAGUCCCUUUGGAAGCAAGUCAUGGUACAAAAGUUAGAGGUAGAAAAAGGGAGUUGGUGUUUAAGGGAAGUGGGGGAUUUCCAUCGAGUGGGUUGUGGAAGGCUAUUAGAGUUGGAUAGGUCUUUAGAAUUAGAUAUCACUUCAUUGUUAGUAAUGGCAAAAGGGUAAAAUUUCGAAAAGAUAGAUGGUGCGGAGAAAGUUCUUUAGAAGAACCAUUCCUAAUGUUGUUUUCUAUAGUUGUUGCUUAAGACUCUUGGGUAGCAAAGUUAUGGAAGUAGAUUGGCAAGGAAAACUAAUGGAGUCCCUAAUUUCACAGACAAUUCCAUAAUUAGGAAUUGGAAAGAGUGAAGACCUUCCUCUAAAGACUGCAUUCAUGUUCGAUAAUAGAGGAAGUGGAGGAUAAAUUGGGCUCGAAGGAAACUAAGAGUGACAAUUUCUCUAACAAAUCUUUCUAUGCUUCCUUAACCCCAGGAAGAAGUGUGCCCUUCCCCACAAGCCCAGUUUAGGGUGCUGUUCCAAGGGCACCUCAAAUCAAAGGAUCUUGAGAAGGUUAAUCCCCAGCAUCAACCCUUAUGCUUGGUGUCUCUCACUAACAAGCAUAAAGGGGAAUCAAACCAAGAGCCUCUAUCCCAACCCUAUUCAGUGGUAAGGUGAGAUAAUGUCAACAGCAUUAAGUCUUUGUCAGGGAUCACCCAGCCUUAGCCUUAACUCAGGCAGGCAUCAAGCAUUAUGGCAUGGUGUCAAGAACAUCUAUGAGGGAUUUUGAGAAGGUUAGUGCCCAGCAUUGACCUAGCACUUGGUGACUCACAAUAUUGAAUGUAGACACCCCUUUCUUGGAGGUGGAGGAGAAAGCAAAGAGAAUAUGUAAAGCUUCUUGAGGCCCUUGUUGGUUAGGACUCUGAAUGACAGCAUGCUUAGCAUUGAGGCCUCUUUGUAAAACCAAGCCAACUGUUCACAUGUAUCCUAUGGAUAUAAAGCCAAGCAGGUACUAGACAAAUGAUGUAUUAACAAUAAAACAUUAAUAUAUCAUAGUAUUGCACAAGAUUUAGCAAAACCCAAUGUUUUCAUAACUGGAUUGACCAUUGAAUCGAAAAUAUUACCGGUUCACGGUUCAUUGGUCAAACCCGUGGUUGAACCACGGUCAAAACAAUGACGUCAUAAGUAUAUAAUUUAUAUAUUAUUAAAAUUAAAAAUAUUUAUAAAAAAUUAUAUAUAUAUAUAUAUAUAUAUAAUUAAAAUUUUUAAUAAUAUUUAUUUUUAUAUUUAAUAUAUUAAAUGAUAAAAUUAAAUAUAAACGUAUUUUGAAAAAACGCAAUUUUUAUUAGAUAAUCCAAUUUUUAGGCCCAUUUUUCAAAGAACCAUAUGGACAUUCAUUUUUAUGCUUAAUCUCCACCAUUCAUUUAAAAAAACAAAACCCUCUCUUCUCAUCACUAGUCGUUCCUUUUUUCCCCCUUUCUUUUCUUCUUCAUUUCUUCUUCCCAUCACCAUUCGCCCUUUUUCCCCCUUUCUCUUCUUCUUCUUCUUUCCCUCUCUGUCACACCAUACCUAUGCGUAAUCCCCCUCUCUCACCAUACCUGUGCGCUGGCGCCUACCCCAACUAGCAGCCAUCUCACUGUCAGCAGCAGCUCAAGCGUGACUGCUGAUCGCCGACCAACAGUCGUCCCAUUCCACCAUCUCACUAUCUCUCUCUCAUGGAAAAAAAAAAACAUGCAGUGACCUGUUCAAUUCACUACAAAUCAGCCAGUUCACUUGGUUCGCCGGUCCAACCGUCGAUUUCAACGGUUUGACACCAAACCGGAAAUGCCACCGAUUUAGUCUGGUUUUUAUAACAAUGGCAAAACCACAACAAUUUCCAGAACUAGCAUUGAAAACUAAACAUUUUGUUCUCUUUAACCAUCAGAGAUUUCUUUUUCUUUUUUUGUUUUUUUUUUUUUUUAAUUCAACUAAGCUUCAUAAUGUUUCAAAAUAAGAUAAAUUUUCCAAUGUUGAUUUCCAGCCCUCCAAAAGAACCCAAAUAUCAAUUAUAUUCCUUUAAUAUUUUUUAGGAAUAACAGAAUGUAACUGCUACUGCAUACCAAUAGAUUACAACCAUGGUUUGAAAUGUCGAAAUUUUUCAGUGAAAUAUCCUCAAUAUUUCGGUUAUCGGAGCAAAUUGACACAUAUUCCUCACCAAUAAUCAGUCGACCGAUUUUUCGCCCAUUUUUUUGAAAUUUCGCCUAAACAUCUACAUUUUUUCCGAUUUUUUGGGAAAUUUCCUGAUAUUUUUUAUGGUUAAGUCUAGUUGACCAUUCAAUUGCGUUGAAGCCUACUGCCUACCCCCUUCAAACUUCAAAUUUUUUUGAAAUUGUUUAUGUUGCUGCUUAGGGGAUUCGAACCUUGGCCAAAAAACUUGGGUUCAAUCCUGGUUACCACUAGACUAAGUUCACACUUAUUAAUAUAUGUUGAUAAUAAAUUUGUUAAAUUUCAUUAUUAAAAAAUUAAUUAAUUAAUCUUAAUUAUUUUACUUUAAAUUUUAUUUAGUUAAUUAAUAAAUGUAUAAAAACCAUCAUUAUAAUUUUUUUAAUAUCAUUUAUAUGAUAAUUAAAUAUAAAAAAUAUAAAUAUUAAAAAAUCAUAUAUGUAUUAUCAUUUAUUUUACAUUAUUGAAUGUAUUUGAAUUAAAUAAAUUAUAGUUUUAAUAUUAAAUGUAUUAUCAUUUAUCUCAUUAAUCCUAUUUUAAAAAAUUACUAUCACUUCAAUUUUAAAUUUUUUAUAUUUAUCCUUUUAAUUUUAUUUAAUUUAGAAUGUUUUUAUUUUAAAAUAUUAAAAAUAUAAACUUAUUCAAAAAAAUUACCAAAAUAAUAAUAAUAAUAAUAAUAAUGAAGUUCUAAUAUGUGAUUAGAUAAAUAAUAAAUUUUUAAGAUCAAUUUAUCAUUGCUUACCGAUAUUUUUCUCUCUGACUAUAUCUAUGUCAAUUACACUUAGAAAAUAACUUUAAACAUGUGUAUUUUUAUUUAUUUUAUCAUUUUUUGAUUUUUUUCUAAAUAUUUUCAUGAAUUUUGAAUAAUUUUCGCAUUACUGAUAUUUUUGUUAAAAUAUCCACCGAUAUUUCUCCAAUAUUUCCAAUAUAUCCGUUAAAUCCAAGUACCGAUAUAUCCGUAUUUACCGAUAUUUCAAACCAUGGUUAUAGCAUUGCUACAUAUUUUUCACACAAUGUAUCUACAUAUCAUUCUGUCACACCAUGUAUCAGUUGGUAUCUGAUGUGAAUAGGCUUGUCAAAUCAUACAACAUCAAUACACCAUCUAACACAUGAGACAACUCAUCCAAGACAACCUUUUACUCAAUUUGGGCACUGAACCAAAUCAGAUCAGACUUUAAUAUUAACAGUAUCUAGGUGGCUUAUAUGUCUUAGAUUGCCCAUACUUCAAACCACGGAAUAAGUACCAAAAUCAACAAGGAAAAAAGAACAUACGAUGAUUGUUGUUUCUUGUUCUUGCUCUCUACCUCCAAGAAGUAACCAGCAGCUCCAUAAUUCUCCUGCAUCUGCAAGUUUGAAACAACAGUAAGAUCAAAUGUUUCAGAAAAAAAAAAAGCAGCUUACAAGCUAAAGGUAUCUUCAUAGAACGAGGACCCCCAAAAUUUGUUUCUGUCACCAACCAGAGAGGGGAGAAGAAAGAGAAUAGCUAUUCUGUAUAACAUAAUUAUUCCCUAAGUAACAACAAUAGUUAUUCCAUAGUCACAACAGCCCAAAGCACAAUCCAUGAAGAUUCAAAAGAGAGAGGGAGAGAGGGAGAGAGCAAGCAAGCAGAUAUUCCAAUAAAGUUCAAGAGAAAACAAUCCAAAAAGUUAAGCCCUGUUUGGUAACAAUUUUUUAAAACCAUCUCUAAUGUUUUGCAAAACAAAUGUCUGUUUGGGAACCUGAAAUAUUUUUUAUUUUGUUUUCUAUAUUUUUAAAUAUAUUUUAAAAAUAAUUUUUAUAUGUAGUACUUUAUUUUUAAUCAUUCUCCAUAUUUGUUUAAUUAUUUUUUUAAAUAAUAUUUAGAAAAUAAGUAAAAAAAACUAAAAUACAUUCUCUGAAAAUACUUUGUUUUCCAUUUUUAAAAACAGUAAACUGUUUUCUGUUUUCUGAUUGUUAAACGUGUUUUCCCUUCUUUUUUUUCCUAGAUAACAAAAAACUGUUUUUGAAAACAAUUACCAAAACGAGUCUUAGACAUUUCUACAAAGGCCAAGAGAAAUCAAUUCAAGCACUAUAAUAUCAAUGGCCAUAAAGCACCCGAAGAUCACUUCAGAAUCGUGUUUCAUGCUUUAGAGUUUGCUGCAUAUGUUAGUGUCUUUUAUAUAAUAAACAGAUAAGAUAAAAUGUGAUAUUUGUACAGAAAUUUAAAAUUUUCUGGGGAAGAUACAAAGUGGGGAAGCAUACCUGCUUAUCCAGCCAAACAAGAUAUUGCACAACAGCUGCACCAUCCCGAAUGUGUGCCUUUCUUAAUCCAUCCAACUCAACUGGAUUCUAGAAAUUUAAUCCAGUACGAGAAAAGAUUAGUCUGGUGAAGGUAAUUAUAACGUAUUACUACCCUAUCAAAAAAAAAUAAUUAUAAUGUAGUACUACUGCAAAAUUGUAUCAGAACAUAUGACAUAGACAUGAUGAAGCCAAAUGGAGCUACUAGGAUUUGUAAAGAAUUACCAGAGAGUAACUAUAAUUAUCUAAUGACUUUAGAAACAGCUUCAGAUUCCAUUAUUCACAUGUGCUUAAUCCAAGAAUCUGAAUAUUUCUAUCACAGGGUAAAGGAAAAGUUUCUUAAUCUCAUGCACUAUAGAAGGACCAAGGUAAACAGGAAAACAGCUCAAAUAGGCAUAUUUCCAGCAUGCUGGAUGCUGAUAAAUGCUUCGCAAGCUCAAGAAAUUUGCCAGAUCACCUCAAAGGUAAACCCUGAGAAAGCCUCACAUUUGGUCUCCUUGAGAAAGCCUCAAGAAGGUUUUAAAUUUGCCCAAUUGAUAUCACAAAGAAAAACCUCAUUUCAGUUAUAUGUAUUAUACUUUUUCAGAACGAAAACAUUUCACAUGGUUAUAUGAUAACAUAGGUUCACCAAUCCUGUACUAUUAGCUUACUCAGGCAUUCAAACACUUUUUGUAACUCGUAUUUCAAAUAAUAUGUCCAGUUAUAGGGACAAUGGAUAUGCUACCUUGAUAGCUUUUGCAAUGGCCAAAGGUGAUUGCUGCAAAACAACCUUAUCUGAAUCCAGUUUUGAAUACAAAGCAUAGCAGCAUGAACCAGGGUCAACCCAUAUGAAGCCACAAGUUUUUUCUUCCUCUUCAUUUAUGUCAUUCUCUGUUAUAUCAGUUACAGGGGAAGGUCUGAGUUGAUUAGACGCAAGCAAGGCUACAUCUGAGCUAACUUCACCAUACUCUCGAACUUCAAUUCCAUUUUCUUCCAUAUGGGAGUUUACCUGCAUAAAAUAACCAUAUGCCAAAUAAGUCAAAAGGUUAGACCUAUUAGACAUACAGAUGUGAGUUGCCUCCUGACAUGGAUGUAGAGUAUAAAAGAAAGAUACAAGACAACAAAUUUUUGCUUGAGUUUUUAAGGCCUUGUUUGGGAUAUCUUCUAAUUUUUAGCUUUAGCUUGGAGCUGAAGCCGAAGUCAACAUUGGUACUUCAAAGAGUAAUUAAACAUGAAAUAGCUUCCUAGAUAAGCUAAAGGAGGGGGCCUCUACAAGAAGUAACAUUAUCUUGAAUUGUAUAAUAAACUCUUUUUUUAAAUGAUAAGCUCCUUAAAAUUGCCCAAACAUGUUCACAAGCUCUUAUUGCACCCAAUAAAGAACUUUUAGCCUCUUAAAAGCCAAUCUAAAUAGAGCCUAAGUACCUGUACAAGUAUGAUAAUUGUGAAACCUGACACUAAACUAGCUGUCAGUCAAUAUAUAUCAAUACGCAAACAACCAAAAGAAUCCGUUUUUGAUAGGAACAACCAAAAGAAUCCUUUGAAAAACUUGAAAAAAAUAGAAGGCAUGAACUGCUUUAGGGGUUUGAAGAAUUUGGUCUUGUAGCUUUGCUUGAAUGGGUACAUGAACUGACAAUCUAAAGGUCUAGGGUCCUAGGGAAAAGAUGCAGUCUGUUCCAAAAAGCAGCCAAUCCAAUUGAGCACCUAUAUUUGAGAUCAGGCCCGGUAACUGAUGUGAGAUCCACCAAAAUAAUAAGCGCACAUGAUUGAACCAGAUGAGGAUCUGAAGGCCUAUGGGGUAGCAAAAUGAAAAUGUUCUUAAAAAAUGCUUUCCUUGUCAAACACAACAAUAUCGAACCUUUUUUUUAAACAUUUUUGCAUCAUCUUCAAUAGUUAAAAUACUCACAGGUUUUAAAACCUGAAAAUAUAUAUAUAUAUAUUUUCAUCAUAUAGAUCAUUUUCAGGAAAUUUUAUAAAAAGUUAUUACCAACCAUGUUAAGUGUCCUUUUCACCUUUUCUAUCUCCAAAAAUAGAUAUAGUCCCCAUCUUAGCUACCCAAGGGGUCCAAAACUUUUUAGAUCUGAUCCUUGCUUGAAGCUGAGAUACAUGGACACUAAUACCUGUCGACACGAUAUGACAUGGUGCGGGUGUGAGAUUGUGUAAGAUACAGAUAUAUAGCAUUGGAUACAUUUUGUUUGAGGUCCAAAAUCAUUUUAAACUUUUUACAAAUAACAGAUUAGUUCACUUCUAAUUAACUCUUCAAAUGGAGCAGAAAAAGGGUGAUGAGAAAAAGAAAUAGGGGAAUUAUUGGCUGCUCUAGUGACUGAACUCAUACAUAAUCAUUACCAUAUUUAAUAGAUAAGUAAAAAAUUAUCACUGCAGCAUAUGGAUAAAGAAGAAGAGUGGACAGACAUUAACACUGAUUACAACAAUCAGAUAUGAUUAUAAUUCCUUAAAGAAUCUAAUAAGUGAUGGUUAUAAUAGUGCUAAAGAUUAUUUGAUGAAGCAUGAGAGAGUUGAAUUUUUGGAGAGAAAAAGGACCUAAAUUUAGAAACUAUUGAUAAUGAUAAACCAUUAAUUUUGUUAUUACGAAUUUUAUGGGUUUUCUUAUCAUUUAAUUUUCAUGUAAUUUUAUUAGUAUUUUUAUGAUUUUUUUUUUUUAGAAUUUUUAUUUAUUUAUUAGUUUAUUUACUUGUUUAAGUUGAGGCUCAAGUCUAGUUCCACCGGCUUAUGUCUCACUUCAUUUGGACAAAACGCCUCAAGACAGACUUUAGCCUUUUAAAACAUUUCAAUUACAUGUACUUGCUACUAAGAUUAUGUCCUUCACAUUUUUCUUUUGAUAGGUAACCUUCUUCUUGGAUUUUUGUUUUUGCCAUACUUGAACAUGGAACCUCCCACAUCUCCACCUUAACCCCACACCACUUAAGCCAAGCCUCAAAGACUAGAUUAUUUCUUCCACAUUAAACCAAUUUAUUGUCCUUUUCAUUCAGUAAAUAGCCUAAAGAAAUUUCAACUUAAGGCUCAAAUAAGAAUCAGAACCUUUCUUUCAACUUAGUGAGCGGCGCCACCUUCAGCCAGGGAUGCCCUUCUUAGCUCUUUUAUAGGGAAGAAAAGGAAGACGGUGUGGACAACAACUCCUUUGUGCUUAUCUUGGACCUCAUGAAAGGAAAGAAAUUGGAGAGCUUUGAUGAUUCCAAAUUAACAAACCAAAAUAUUUUAUGGUUAUGUACAUGUUCUUAGAUUGGGUCAGGGUGCUCUUAGGUUUUAGUUUGUUGCCUUAAUUUGAUUUUAUUGAUUGGUUGGGUUGCAAGUGAUGUGAGUGUGUUGUUUUUUGUAUAUCCUCUUUCUUUUUUGGCCUUAGGUGCCUUGUAUACAUCAUGUGUACUUUUAUGUGCCCUUCUUUAGGCACUUUAAAUACAAUUGCUUUUACCUAUAGAAAAAAAAGGAUAUUAAAAAAAUUAAUACAGUCUAAACCAAGUCAAUCAUGUCGCAAUGAAGCAAUAGACAUGUGUGUGUAAAUUAUACCAUAGUCCACAAGAAGCAUUGUUUCCCCCAGACAUUCCUCGUUUAACCUCAACAAUAUUUUCCCAUUUCACAUCAAUAAAUAAAUUAAAGAUAGAUAGGCUAGCAAAUGAAGUGAAUUAUUUUUUAUUUGUUACUUUUUACUUGAUAUGGUUGAUCUUUUAAUGACUAUCUUUUAACUUCAGUACUCAUUUGUCGCUGACAGCUUGGAAUUAAUACAUAUCUGGUUCUCAUAAUAUCUGUUAUUAUAUUGCCUGAUUUUCUGCGCACCAAUCAGAGUCACCAAAUACCAUAUCCCUGGAGUCCCAUUGCCUUACUACUUUUCAUGGUUAGCAAAUCAGAGAUGGAGAUAUACCCAAAAAAAAACAAUAACAACAACAACAACUAACCUCAGAAGAGACCUUCUUCUUGUCAACAUAAAAGAAAGCUGAUUUGGAUGUCACUAUAGCAAAUGCAUGAACAACUGGACAGUAAGACACAUCAGUCCCACGAACAUUAUAUAACCAAGCAACCUGCGUAACAGUUAUUACACUUAAUUUUGCAUGAGAAAAUGAGGAAAUUUAAACUGGAAGGUCCCUGAGAAUCAAUAGAUUCUCAAUCUCGAAACAACAGAAUUGCAAAUAUUAAGCAAGAACAAGAUGAACUUACCUCAUCAAGCGCUGUGAUAAUUAUACCCUGAGCUUUCUCCUGCAUGAGCCUUUCUCUCAAAUCCUCCAACUUAUCAGCUACAGAACGACCAGCAAAUUCUACUGGCUGUAUAAUGACAGGAUUAGUUUCAGCUGGUGGCCGAUUUUUCCAAACUUCAUCUACCAAGUUUGUGGAUGUUUGGACCAGCUUUUGCCGUUUUUUGGUAAAAGCACGCUCCCAUCUUUGUGCAGUAUCCACUGAUAUGCACCAAGGAUCAAUACCAACAGCUGCAUUGUUUGGCAGAUUCUAACAAAAGCACAUAAAAAGUUUCCACUUUAAUAUGGUUUUCUAUUACAUUAUAACAAACAAAACUAAAAUUUGAUAAAAAUUCAAAGAACUAAAAAAUGACAAGUAGUCCAACAAUCAUAGCUAUCUUUCAACUAAGCUAAACCAUCAAAAGGCAUUAUUGAUAAGUAACUUUUGGAAAUAAGUGAUUUCAGCCUGAACUAGUAUGGUUGUCUAUAGGAAUGCAUUAUUCCAAACCUUAUUUCAACAGAGGUAAAAAUAUAAAUCCUUAGAAUUUUAGCAGAUCAUCGCCGGAUAUAAGAAUGAAUUUUUCUAUGUCAAGGACUAAGAGAAGUUAAAAAUCUGCUGGUGACAUAAUUGGGUAGUUUCUUGUUCUCUGAGGUUGCAUUGAGUUUACAAGCAUCAAACUUCAAUACUGAAAUCAUAUCUCUAAAAAUAAAUUCCAGGAAUGUAAAGAUUUCCAUUAUAAGGCUUGGCAAAAGUUGGGAAUUUGAAACUCCAGUCAAAUUUUAUUUCUAUUAUAAAAUUUGGUUAUUUUGAGAACAACUUAGGAAUUGAUAUAAGUUUACAUAGUAAACCCAAAGAAACAUUAGAAUGAUUAAAUCUAGUUAUAAAUAAAUAAAUAAAAACAAACAAAAGAUUGUCCUCCUUCCUUUUAUCAUUGUUGCCUGAAGAUGGGAAUAAAAAGAAAACAAUAAUCCUCCAUAGGUACAAUAUUUCCCUAAAUUUGAGAGAAUCUCAUAUCCAAGGAUGAAAAUAUCAAUAUCCACAAAAUAUCAAUGGUUCAAUUUUAAAAUAUAAGUAAAAAUGAAAGAGACCAUGGAGAUUAACAGAAAAAACAUGAAAAUUUUGGUUGAAACUUUGAGAAAUGAUAAAACAACAAAUAAUACAGGCAAGCAAAUUCAAGAAUUCCUAGCCCAUACAUAUAUUAUGAUCCAAAGACUGCUCAGCAACAGUCAUACAGGUGGGGAAUGUUGGGGUAAACUAGAAAGUUUGGGUAAAGCCAAAUACAAACUAAACUAGUUUUUAUAUUAAAUAUGUAUGAUAAAAUUAGUGUUAUUUUGUAAAUAAUAUAAUGUGUUGAUGGUAAAACAUGAAUAUUGAAUACUAACAUGGAUCUAAAAACAUUUUCAUGAAUAAUAAUAUAUACAUGUUGUACAUAUUUUCAUAAUUGUUAAUAUAUACAAGAAAAACUUCUUACAAUUAGUCAAUAUCAUAUUGGCAAAAGCAAAGAACAAUAAAAUUUUAUCUUUUCUAUUUUAUUUUUAAAUAGUUGAUUGUAAAUAUUUCAUUUUAAGAUUAUUUUUCUAGUAAUUAUACAAUUUGUAUUUGCUAAGCACAUUAUAUUAAUUCACUAAAAUGCAAAUUUAGAAAAUCUAAAAUGAUACAUAAUUAGGAUGAUUUUUUAUCACAUAAUUGAACUAAAAUUUGAGAUAAUUGAAAAGCGAAUACGGUAUUAUUUUUAUAUUAUAAAUGAACAUUUCAAUGAAAAUGAGAAUUAGAUUCAAAUUUUUUUAUCACAUUUUUUAAUGAUACCCUCUAAAUUCGUAUAAGUGUUGAUAAUUGAAUUAAGAUAGAAACAAUUUUAAACCCAUACAUGCUAAAUUUUUGUUUAAUAUUUUUAUCACAAUUCUUUAACAAGCAUUUGUAAUAUCUUUUCUUGUGAAAAUGAUGAGCUUUUCAAACCAUUUUAUUUAUCUAAAAUAAAUAAAUAUAUUAUUUAAUUUAAAAUGACAGUAUUCUUUCCAAAUCACAUUUCCAUCUAAUUCUAAGAUAUUUUUCUGAAAUCAGGCUACAAGAAGCCUCGACUUUUAAAUAUAUAUACUUUGCUAAUAUUUUGGUUGCCUUUCCCCAAUAUUUCCAUAGUGUCAAUUUUUCAACACUAUUUCAGUGAUUUUUUGCAGAUUUUACUAGCACCCUAGUUGCCAUAUCAGGAUGCUCAGUUUCAUAAAAUUUCAAUCACUAAAAAGAUUGAUCUUUUCAUCCUUGCUCAUAUCUAAGGAAACUAAUACUUUCUACGUAAUAUGCACAAACAUGGUAAUCUUAUACUUGAAUAUAAGAUGCCUAUUCCCAAGUCAAGAUACUCAUAAACCAAAUGUAUUCCAAGGACAAUGUUUCCCAUAUGUUGAUGGUUUUUUUGUCCUCAUUUUUUAUUUUUUUUUUGAUAAGCAAAGAUAGAAUAUAUUAAAGCACCUAACAAAAGCCGAACAAAGGUAUAAACAAUAUAUACAAAGGUGCCUAAAUGGCCAAAUAAUGCUAAGGGAAAACAAUUAUAUGUGUGUGUGUGCACCCUUUCAAGCCUCCCUAUUUACCUAAUGUCUCUCCUUGUUAUUCCGCGGAAGGUGUGUGCAAGACUUGAAAAGAUCCAAAGAGACUUCUUGUGGGGCGGUGGCGCUUUAGAGAAGAAGUCGCACUUGGUGAAUUGGAGUGCGGUUUGUACUGAUAUGAGACAAGGAGGCUUGGGUAUUCGCAGUCUUGUGGCCCUAAACAAAGCCCUGCUUGGGAAAUGGAACUGGAAAUUUGCUAUAAAAAGGAAUUCUUUGUGGAAACAAGUAAUUAUAGACAAAUAUGGGGAGGAAGAGGGAGGUUGGUGUUCAAAAGAAGUGAGGGGCCUAUGGUGUGGGAUUGUGGAAAGCCAUCAGAAAAGAUUGGGAAAUCAUUCGCUCAAGAUCCCGCUUUAUAGUGGGGAAUGGGAGGAAGGUCAAAUUUUGGAAGGAUUUGUGGUGUGAGAACCAAGCUUUGAAGGAUGCCUUCCCCAACUUAUUUAGAUCGGCGGUCAAUAAGGAUCAAUGGGUAUGUGAUGCUUGGGAGGACGAAAGAGAGGUGGGAAGCUGGAAUCCUUUGUUCUCAAGAAGCUUUAAGGAUUGGGAAAUGGAAGAGGUGGAGGGCUUGCUCCAAAAAAUACACCCUCUGGUUUUGCAUAGUGAUGUGGAGGAUGCUUUAAGCUGGAAGAUUAGUAAGAAUGGCUCCUUCUCUGUUAGAUCUCUCUACCGAUCCCUCACAUCUACCUCUAGUGAACCUUUUCCUUGGAGCAUCAUUUGGAGAUCUUGGGCACCCAUGAGAGUUAGUUUUUUUGCUUGGGAAGCGUCUUGGAACAGAAUUUUGACCACUGAUCAGCUUAAAAGAAGGGGCUGGAUUCUACCAAAUAGAUGUUACUUGUGUAAAAUGGAAGAGGAAACUAGUGACCACUUGCUCAUUUUCUGCAAGAAGGUUACAAUGUUAUGGAGCUUCCUUUUCUCCCUUUUUGAUGUGUAGUAGGUCCUACACUCCUCAAUCAAAAGGAAUUUGAUAGCUUGGCAUGGUGCUUCUGUGAGUAAGGGAAAGGAAAAAGCUUGGAGGGCUGCUCCCCUUUGUUUAAUGUGGACAUUAUGGAGGGAGAGAAAUGAAAGAGUGUUCAAUGACAAUGAACGUACCGACCAAGCUCUAAAACUCUCUUUUUUGUACACUUUUGUGAAUUGGGGUAGGGUAUAUUUAGAGACUCAUUCUUUGUCCUUGUUUGACUUUAUAGAAUGGUUUUUGUCUAGAUAGAAAAAAGGUUUUUCUUUUUGGCCUAGCUCCUAGGGCGUUGCUUGUAUACUUCAUGUGUACUCUUUUUGCCUUUCUAGGCUUUUCUAAUACAUCCUCUUAUUUGCCUAUCAAAAAAAAAAUUAUAUGUGUGUGUGUGUGUGUGUGUGUGGGUGUGUGUGUUAUGUGUGAUGAAAAAUAAUCUCUUGUAUAUUUCAUUACAUUUUUUUUUACAAUUUACAUACAAAAAAAGGGUUGAAAAAAUCUCUUAAAUUAAGUUACCCAUCAAAAAAGGAUCCCUCAAAUCAAGUAAUCCUAUUGCAAGGAUCAAAAAUGGAAUUUACCCAAGGUUCUUAUAUGGAAUUUACCCAAAUUCUUGGUACAAAAAAUUAAGGGAAGGGGUUUGUGCUACAAAAAUAUGGGUGAGUGAUAGGGUUGCCUCUAUAUUUGAGGGGAAGAGAGUUAUUCAAAAGGCUACCUGAUGCUUUCAAAGGAUUCGUGGCAAUGGAUGAGGAGCUGAGAUGCGCCAUCUACAAUGGAUCAGGAUCCUUGUCAAGCCCAAUGAGAGGAAGGCACCUAGUAUGUUGCACACUAUGGUUGGGGCCUCUAUCUUUGCCAUUCAAUUAUGGUGGGAGGUCCCGCAUGGUUAACAACAGUGGUCUCUACGGAGAGGUGCAGAGAUAUGAAGGUCACGGAUGAUUGUGAGGGGAUUGCACACGUUGUUGGGGAAGUGGUGCCUAAAGAAAAGAAGCGUGUAAAAAGAGGAAAACAAGUGUCAUUUCCAUAGUCAAGGCUCUCUGCACAUGCAAUGGAGGAGCCAGCUUUCUCUGUCGAAAACAGAAAUUUGAUGGAUGUCAGGCCUAAUGGAGGGUGGGCUCUUUAGCCUUAGUAAUCCUAUAUGGCCCCUCUAAGUCUCCUAGUGGCCAGUUAGAUGUGUCCAAGAUAUGUUCAAGAUAGGGGAAGAAUUUUGACAAUUGAUCAUACUUAAAAGGAGGGGAAGGAUAAUGUCGGUUAAACAUGUCCAAGGUAGGGGAUGAAUGAGCCUAUCAUUUGCUCCUUCAUUAACCUACAGCAAGUAUUUUAUGGCAGCUAUUGUUCUCUCUGUUUGAGGUAGUAUGAGUGAUGCACUCAACAGUAACAAGAACUCAGUUGAGUUAGCAUGGAUCUUUUAAAAUAAGAAAGUCGCUCCUUUGUGUCUAUUGGACUCUAUGGAAGGAGAGAAAGAAAAGGGCUUUCAAAAAUUUGGAGCAAUUUGAACAACCAACUAAACGCUCUUUUAUGAAUACUUUUGUGGAUCAAGCCAAAUGAUAUAUUAAUGAUCACUCUUUGACCAUGAUAGGAUGUGUAGAUUAGCUUAGCUCAUAGAUAGGAGAGGGAAUGGUUUUGUUUUAUCUCUCUCCUCUUUUAUUUUCCAGUCUUGGCGACCUUUGUAUAUAACAUGUGUACUUUGUUUUGUCUUUAUUCAAGCGCCUUCAAUAUAUAUCUCUUGUGGCCUAUAAAAAAUACAUCUAUAUAAAUUUAUGUAGUCUUUCGAUUUUAAUAAAUAAAAUUACAUAUAAAAUUGUGUAGUCUUCCAACUUUAAUGAAUAAAAUUAGUCAAAAUUUAGUGGCUAUCCAAUCUCCUAAGGUGUGAUUGCCAAGGAUCUAUAUUUUUUUUUCACUCUUUUCUUUUUUCUUUUUUCUUUUUUCUUUUUUCUUUUUAAUCUCUCAUCUCAUUACACAACAGAAGUAAAUCUUCUAUAAAAUCUAAAAAAUCCUACAGCAAUGAACUAUCACCAAAAUAAACCAAAGAAAACAAAAAAUAAAAAGUUCAUACCAAUAAAGUUGGUGAAAUCUAAACAGCAUGAUUAUCUCUAAGAGAAAAAUUAAGGAUGUCAACUAAGUUUCUAAGAGAAAAAAUGGAUGUGAGUAACUGGAAGAAACUUAUUACAAAUGAUAAUACGGAACCCAAAAAUAGUAUCUAGAACCCCCACAUGGCGUUACAUGUCAUUAAGCACGGGGGCAAUAGGCUUCUUGGGUUUCAACCCAUAUGAGAAACUCAAUAGAAUAUUGCAUGUUUCUUUUCCUCUCUAUAUCAUUUCUCCUCACA
Molecule: long non-coding RNA, 30587 nt
Filed under: Vitis vinifera (wine grape)
Lineage: Eukaryota; Viridiplantae; Streptophyta; Magnoliopsida; Vitales; Vitaceae
Description: long non-coding RNA (VVIN_LNC001157)
Source: RNAcentral